CUACGAGUGGCUGCAGUGGGGAAUAUUGGACAAUGGGGGAAACCCUGAUCCAGCAAUGCCGCGUGUGUGAAGAAGGCCUGCGGGUUGUAAAGCACUUUCGGUUGGGAGGACUGCUUCUAGCACUAAUAUUGUUGGAAGUUGACGUUAGCUUCAGAAGAAGCACCGGCUAACUCCGUGCCAGCAGCCGCGGUAAUACGGAGGGUGCAAGCGUUAAUCGGAAUUACUGGGCGUAAAGCGCGCGUAGGCGGCUAGAUCAGUCGGGUGUGAAAGCCCCGGGCUUAACCUGGGAACUGCAUCCGAUACUGUCUAGCUUGAGUACAGGAGAGGAGAGUGGAAUUCCACAUGUAGCGGUGAAAUGCGUAGAUAUGUGGAGGAACACCAAUGGCGAAGGCAGCUCUCUGGCCUGAUACUGACGCUGAGGUGCGAAAGCGUGGGGAACAAACAGGAUUAGAUACCCGGGUAGUC
Molecule: ribosomal RNA, 465 nt
Filed under: uncultured bacterium
Lineage: Bacteria
Description: partial 16S ribosomal RNA
Rfam family: Bacterial small subunit ribosomal RNA
Source: RNAcentral